GCCGGGGUGGUGAAAUUGGUAGACGCGACGGACUCAAAAUCCGUUACUGGCAACAGUGUGCGGGUUCGACUCCCGCCCCCGGCACCA
RNAcentral lists this transfer RNA (87 nucleotides) under Oceanidesulfovibrio marinus. RNAcentral describes it as "tRNA-Leu". It matches the Rfam family "tRNA". From Rfam's summary of the family: Transfer RNA (tRNA) molecules are approximately 80 nucleotides in length. The record is from RNAcentral. Lineage: Bacteria; Pseudomonadati; Thermodesulfobacteriota; Desulfovibrionia; Desulfovibrionales; Desulfovibrionaceae.